CAAUAGCGUAUAUUAAAGUUGUUGCAGUUGAAAAGCUCGUAGUUGGAUUUCUGGUAGGAGUGACCGUUCCGAACUUGAUUGUUCGUGUAUUGUGUUUUCUCCAGCCAUCCUUGUGGAGAACUUUUCUUGCAUUAAUUUGUAGGGAUUGGGACCCGCAUCGUUUACUGUGAAAAAAUUAGAGUGUUUAAAGCAGGCAAUCGCUUGAAUACAUUAGCAUGGAAUAAUAAGAUAGGACUUUGGUACUAUUUUGUUGGUUUGCAUACCAAAUUAAUGAUCAACAGGAACAGUUUGAGGAUAUUCGUAUGAACAUGUCAGAGGUGGAAUUCUUGGAUUUUGAUCAGACGAACUACUGCGAAAGCAUUUAUCAAGGAUGUUUUCAUUAA
Molecule: ribosomal RNA, 383 nt
Filed under: uncultured eukaryote
Lineage: Eukaryota
Description: partial 18S ribosomal RNA
Rfam family: Eukaryotic small subunit ribosomal RNA
Source: RNAcentral